This 468-nucleotide ribosomal RNA is filed under the name uncultured bacterium. RNAcentral describes it as "partial 16S ribosomal RNA". It matches the Rfam family "Bacterial small subunit ribosomal RNA", at positions 28 to 507 of the family's 1533-position model. The record is from RNAcentral.
GACGAACGCUGGCGGCGUGCUUAACACAUGCAAGUCGAACGGAAAGGCCCUGCUUUUGUGGGGUGCUUGAGUGGCGAACGGGUGAGUAACACGUGAGUAACCUGCCCUUGACUUUGUGAUAACUUCAGGAAACUGGGGCUAAUACCGGAUAGGAGCUCCUGCUGCAUGGUGGGGGUUGGAAAGUUUCGGCGGUUGGGGAUGGACUCGCGGCUUAUCAGCUUGUUGGUGGGGUAGUGGCUUACCAAGGCUUUGACGGGUAGCCGGCCUGAGAGGGUGACCGGCCACAUUGGGACUGAGAUACGGACCAGACUCCUACGGGAGGCAGCAGUGGGGAAUAUUGCACAAUGGGCGGAAGCCUGAUGCAGCAACGCCGCGUGCGGGAUGACGGCCUUCGGGUUGUAAACCGCUUUCGCCGGUGACGAAGCGUGAGUGACGGUAAUGAGUAAAGAAGCACCGGCUAACUACGUG